Molecule: long non-coding RNA, 200 nt
Filed under: Solanum tuberosum (potato)
Lineage: Eukaryota; Viridiplantae; Streptophyta; Magnoliopsida; Solanales; Solanaceae
Description: long non-coding RNA (STUB_LNC000069)
Source: RNAcentral
GUAAACCCAUUCAUGUGCGUCCCACACACUCCAGCGUGCACUUCUUCAAGCAAUUUUGUGGCUUCUACAGCAUCCACACAUCUCAGUAAUCCCAGAUCGGGUGUCCUCUUAUAAAGAACCUCUCCAUUCAAAAAGAAGUUGUUUGCCAUUCUUCGGAUUGUUUUCUUCUGAAUACUUGUUGCUUUUUCUGGAUAUUCGCC